GAUGAACGCUGGCGGCGUGCCUAAUACAUGCAAGUCGAGCGAACGGACGAGAAGCUUGCUUCUCUGAUGUUAGCGGCGGACGGGUGAGUAACACGUGGAUAACCUACCUAUAAGACUGGGAUAACUUCGGGAAACCGGAGCUAAUACCGGAUAAUAUUUUGAACCGCAUGGUUCAAAAGUGAAAGACGGUCUUGCUGUCACUUAUAGAUGGAUCCGCGCUGCAUUAGCUAGUUGGUAAGGUAACGGCUUACCAAGGCAACGAUGCAUAGCCGACGUGAGAGGGGGGUCGCCGACCCUGGAAGGUGGACGGGCACAAGAGGCCUACGAGACGGCGCAGUAGGGUACCGGCCGCAAUGGUCGAAAGUCUUACGCAGCAAGGGCGCGUGAGAGGUAGAGGUCCUGCGAGCGGGAUACUCUCUUACGAGGUAUAAACCUAUGUGUAAGUAACUGAGCACAUCUUGACGGUACCUAAUCAGAAAGCCCCGGCUAACUACGUG
RNAcentral lists this ribosomal RNA (497 nucleotides) under uncultured bacterium. Its description in RNAcentral is "partial 16S ribosomal RNA". It matches the Rfam family "Bacterial small subunit ribosomal RNA", at positions 28 to 507 of the family's 1533-position model. The record is from RNAcentral.